ACGCUGGCGGCACGCCUUAUACAUGCAAGUCGAACGAAGUAGCAAUACUUAGUGGCAGACGGGUGAGUAACAUGUAGGUAUCUUCCCUUUGGUGAGGAAUAACACGAGGAAACUUGUGCUAAUACCUCAUAAGUCUUUACGGAGAAAGCUUUAUGCGCCGAAGGAUGAGCCUGCACUUGAUUAGUUUGUUGGUGGGGUAAUGGCCUACCAAGACUUUGAUCUAUAGCUGAUCUGAGAGGAUGAUCAGCCACAUUGGGACUGAGACACGGCCCAAACUCCUACGGGAGGCAGCAGUAGGGAAUAUUGCACAAUGGAGGAAACUCUGAUGCAGCGAUGCCGCGUGAGUGAAGAAGGCCUUUGGGUUGUAAAGCUCUUUCGUCGGGGAAGAAAAUGACUGUACCCGAAUAAGAAGGUCCGGCUAACUUCGUGCCAGCAGCCGCGGUAAUACGAAGGGACCUAGCGUAGUUCGGAAUUACUGGGCUUAAAGAGUUCGUAGGUGGUUAAAAAAGUUGGUGGUGAAAUCCCAGAGCUUAACUCUGGAACUGCCAUCAAAACUUUUUAGCUAGAGUAUGAUAGAGGAAAGCAGAAUUUCUAGUGUAGAGGUGAAAUUCGUAGAUAUUAGAAAGAAUACCAAUUGCGAAGGCAGCUUUCUGGAUCAUUACUGACGCUGAGGAACGAAAGCAUGGGUAGCGAAGAGGAUUAGAUACCCUCGUAGUCCAUGCCGUAAACGAUGUGUGUUAGACGUUGGAAAUUUAUUUUCAGUGUCGCAGCGAAAGCAUUAAACACACCGCCUGGGGAGUACGACCGCAAGUAACUCAAUGAUGACGUC
Molecule: ribosomal RNA, 829 nt
Filed under: alpha proteobacterium SCGC AAA300-N17
Lineage: Bacteria; Pseudomonadati; Pseudomonadota; Alphaproteobacteria
Description: SSU rRNA
Rfam family: Bacterial small subunit ribosomal RNA
Source: RNAcentral